Molecule: long non-coding RNA, 645 nt
Filed under: Homo sapiens (human)
Lineage: Eukaryota; Metazoa; Chordata; Mammalia; Primates; Hominidae
Description: HSALNT0339001
Source: RNAcentral
AAGACGUGUCUGCUUCGCCGUUGCCUUCCACCGUGAUUGUGAGUUUCCUGAGGCCUUCCCUAGCCAUGCUUCCUGUAUAGUCUGUGGAACGAUUCUCUAGGAAACAAGAAAUCAAAUCUCCGGGGACUAUCCAGGUGGGAAAUGGAAAUAAAUGAUAAACAUACGAAUACAUCGAUUCUGUUUCCUAUUGGUUGGGAGUGGGCUUUUUUAUGAUCUUGUUAGUAUUCCAGAUUUAUGAAUUCUAAAAAAUUGAGAGACUAUUUGAAAUAUUUAAAUGCAUUUUAAAGCCUGUGCGUGGGAAAUGGAGCUGUCACCUCACAAGAUCCAAAGUGUCUUUAACAACCCCUGCUCUGCUCCGGGAGGGCUCUGCCGUUCGGGACCCAGGCUCCGUCAGAGCAGCAGGAGCUGCAGAACUACAGCUGGAUCGGGGGAUGGACCUACCCCACCCUGGGCUGUCACUGGGGGGCCCAGUGUUAUCCCAGAGGAACUGCUGCCUGGACCACUGUCCUUGAGUAUGUCUGCAAGCAUGCCACAGAAAUCACUAGAUGGCGGAUGCUAGCCCUGUUCCAUUAAAAGCAAGUGCCCACCCCGUCUCUACUAAAAAUAAAAAAUUAGCCAGGCAUGGUGUUGGAUGCCUGUGGUCCC